RNAcentral lists this unclassified non-coding RNA (317 nucleotides) under uncultured Gammaproteobacteria bacterium. RNAcentral describes it as "contains 16S-23S intergenic spacer region". Lineage: Bacteria; Pseudomonadati; Pseudomonadota; Gammaproteobacteria. The record is from RNAcentral.
UCCGGUUUGUCACCGGCAGUCUCCCUAGAGUGCCCUUGCGUAGCAACUAGGGACAAGGGUUGCGCUCGUUGCGGGACUUAACCCAACAUCUCACGACACGAGCUGACGACAGCCAUGCAGCACCUGUGUUACGGCUCCCUUUCGGGCACACCCAGCUCUCGCUGGGCUUCCGUACAUGUCAAGGGUAGGUAAGGUUAUUCGCGUUGCAUCGAAUUAAUCCACAUCAUCCACGCUGUAAACGAUGGAUGCUAGCCGUCAGCAAGCAUGCUUGUUGGUGGCGCAGCUAACGCAUUAAGCAUCCCGCCUGGGGAGUACGG